This 492-nucleotide ribosomal RNA is filed under the name uncultured bacterium. RNAcentral's name for it is "partial 16S ribosomal RNA". It matches the Rfam family "Bacterial small subunit ribosomal RNA", at positions 29 to 507 of the family's 1533-position model. The record is from RNAcentral.
AGUGAACGCUGGCGGUAGGCCUAACACAUGCAAGUCGAACGGCAGCACGGUAAGAGCUUGCUCUUACGGGUGGCGAGUGGCGGACGGGUGAGGAAUACAUCGGAAUCUACUUUUUCGUGGGGGAUAACGUAGGGAAACUUACGCUAAUACCGCAUACGACCUACGGGUGAAAGCAGGGGAUCUUCGGACCUUGCGCGAUUGAAUGGGCCGAUGUCGGAUUAGCUAGUUGGCGGGGUAAAGGCCCACCAAGGCGACGAUCCGUAGCUGGUCUGAGAGGAUGAUCAGCCACACUGGAACUGAGACACGGUCCAGACUCCUACGGGAGGCAGCAGUGGGGAAUAUUGGACAAUGGGCGCAAGCCUGAUCCAGCCAUACCGCGUGGGUGAAGAAGGCCUUCGGGUUGUAAAGCCCUUUUGUUGGGAAAGAAAAGCAGCAGGUUAAUACCCCGCUGUUCUGACGGUACCCAAAGAAUAAGCACCGGCUAACUUCGUG